This 1306-nucleotide ribosomal RNA is filed under the name Graphium sp. UCRFD329. RNAcentral's name for it is "SSU rRNA". It matches the Rfam family "Eukaryotic small subunit ribosomal RNA", at positions 20 to 1337 of the family's 1831-position model. Lineage: Eukaryota; Fungi; Ascomycota; Sordariomycetes; Microascales; Graphiaceae. The record is from RNAcentral.
GUAGUCAUAUGCUUGUCUCAAAGAUUAAGCCAUGCAUGUCUAAGUAUAAGCAAUUAUACCGCGAAACUGCGAAUGGCUCAUUAUAUAAGUUAUAGUUUAUUUGAUAGCACCUUACUACAUGGAUAACUGUGGUAAUUCUAGAGCUAAAACAUGCUAAAAAUCCCGACUUCGGAAGGGAUGUGUUUAUUAGAUUAAAAACCAAUGCCCUUCGGGGCUGCUUGGUGAUUCAUAAUAACCUCUCGAAUCGCACGGCCUUGCGCCGGCGAUGGUUCAUUCAAAUUUCUUCCCUAUCAACUUUCGAUGCGAAGGUAUUGUCUUCGCAUGGUUACAACGGGUAACGGAGGGUUAGGGCUCGACCCCGGAGAAGGAGCCUGAGAAACGGCUACUACAUCCAAGGAAGGCAGCAGGCGCGCAAAUUACCCAAUCCCGACACGGGGAGGUAGUGACAAUAAAUACUGAUACAGGGCUCUUUUGGGUCUUGUAAUUGGAAUGAGUACAAUUUAAAUCCCUUAACGAGGAACAAUUGGAGGGCAAGUCUGGUGCCAGCAGCCGCGGUAAUUCCAGCUCCAAUAGCGUAUAUUAAAGUUGUUGUGGUUAAAAAGCUCGUAGUUGAACCUUGGGCCUGGCUGGCCGGUCCCCCUCACCGGGUGCACUGGUCCGGCCGGGCCUUUCCCUCUGUGGAACCGCAUGCCCUUCACUGGGUGUGCCGGGGAAACAGGACUUUUACUUUGAAAAAAUUAGAGUGCUCCAGGCAGGCCUAUGCUCGAAUACAUUAGCAUGGAAUAAUAGAAUAGGACGUGUGGUUCUAUUUUGUUGGUUUCUAGGACCGCCGUAAUGAUUAAUAGGGACAGUCGGGGGCAUCAGUAUUCAAUUGUCAGAGGUGAAAUUCUUGGAUCUAUUGAAGACUAACUACUGCGAAAGCAUUUGCCAAGGAUGUUUUCAUUGAUAAGGAACGAAAGUUAGGGGAUCGAAGACGAUCAGAUACCGUCGUAGUCUUAACUAUAAACUAUGCCGACUAGGGAUCGGACGGUGUUUAUACUUGACCCGUUCGGCACCUUUCGAGAAAUCAAAGUGCUUGGGCUCCAGGGGGAGUAUGGUCGCAAGGCUGAAACUUAAAGAAAUUGACGGAAGGGCACCACCAGGGGUGGAGCCUGCGGCUUAAUUUGACUCAACACGGGGAAACUCACCAGGUCCAGACACAAUGAGGAUUGACAGAUUGAGAGCUCUUUCUUGAUUUUGUGGGUGGUGGUGCAUGGCCGUUCUUAGUUGGUGGAGUGAUUUGUCAGCUUAAUUGCGAUAACGAACG